GCGAGGUAGAGCAAAUCUCAAAAAAACAAUCUCAGUUCAGACUGCAGGCUGCAACUCGCCUGCACGAAGUCGGAAUUGCUAGUAAUCGUAGGUCAGCAUACUACGGUGAAUACGUUCCCGGGCCUUGUACACACCGCCCGUCAAACCAUGAGAGUUGGCAACACCCGAAGUCGGUAGUCUAACCGCAAGGAGGACGCCGCCGAAGGUGGGGUUGAUGAUUAGGGUUAAGUCGUAACAAGGUAGC
Molecule: ribosomal RNA, 244 nt
Filed under: uncultured bacterium
Lineage: Bacteria
Description: partial 16S ribosomal RNA
Rfam family: Bacterial small subunit ribosomal RNA
Source: RNAcentral